Long non-coding RNA from Sapajus apella (tufted capuchin), 266 nucleotides. RefSeq lists it as uncharacterized. Lineage: Eukaryota; Metazoa; Chordata; Mammalia; Primates; Cebidae. The record is from RefSeq and is a predicted model, not a curated record. The transcript is spliced from 2 exons.
CAGAAACAGAAAACCAAACACCGCAUGUUCUCACUCAUAAGUGGAAGCCAAGCUAUGAGGAUGCAUAGGCGUAAGAAUGACACAAUGGACUUUGGGAACUCAGGGGGAAAGGGUGGGAAGCAGGUGAGGGAUAAAAAACUAUAAACUGAGUGUAGUGUAUACUACUUGGGUGAUGGGUACACCAAAAUCUCGCAAAUCACCAUUAAAGAACUUAUGUAACCAAACACCACCCAUUUCCCAAUAACCUAUGGCAAAUAAAAGUUUUU